RNAcentral lists this ribosomal RNA (447 nucleotides) under uncultured bacterium. RNAcentral's name for it is "SSU rRNA". It matches the Rfam family "Bacterial small subunit ribosomal RNA", at positions 26 to 518 of the family's 1533-position model. The record is from RNAcentral.
AGAACGAACGCUGGCGGCAGGCUUAACACAUGCAAGUCGAACGCUCGUAGCAAUACGGGAGUGGCAGACGGGUGAGUAACGCGUGGGAACAUACCCUCCGGUUCGGAAUAGCUCAGGGAAACUUGGAUUAAUACCGGAUACGGCCGAGAGGCGAAAGAUUUAUCGCCGGAGGAUUGGCCCGCGUUCGAUUAGCUAGUUGGUGAGGUAACGGCUCACCAAGGCGAUGAUCGAUAGCUGGUCUGAGAGGAUGAUCAGCCACAUUGGGACUGAGACACGGCCCAAACUCCUACGGGAGGCAGCAGUGGGAAUAUUGGACAAUGGGCGCAAGCCUGAUCCAGCCAUGCCGCGUGAGUGAUGACGGCCUUAGGGUUGUAAAGCUCUUUCGCUCGGGACGAUAAUGACGGUACCGAGAUAAGACGCCCCGGCUAACUUCGCGCCAGCAGCCGC